RNAcentral lists this long non-coding RNA (3147 nucleotides) under Nicotiana tabacum (common tobacco). RNAcentral's name for it is "long non-coding RNA (NTAB_LNC015641)". The record is from RNAcentral. Lineage: Eukaryota; Viridiplantae; Streptophyta; Magnoliopsida; Solanales; Solanaceae.
UCACUCUCUCUUCACUCUCUCUACCGUCGCCCCUCCACCGUCGUCGAAAAUCUCUACCGCCGGCAGACCACCUCCGAACACUUCAAAUUCACAACAUGUAAUCUCUGCAACUUCAUCUUUCCAUAUCUCCAAAACCAAAUCCUUCAAAACCCCCCUCAAACUCCUUGAAUCUCAUAUCUAGGAAACUUUUUCGUCACUUUUUUGCCCAAAUUCUUGAAGCUCCAACCACUACCACCCCACAAUACCUACAUCAACAGAUAGAGCUCCUCAAGACCUAGCUAUUGAUGCCAAUUUCACCUGAAAAUCCGGCGACCAAAAUCCGACCAAAUUCCGGCGACUUCCCCGAACACCCUCGCUUGGCACACAACUAUUGUAUUGGCCACUUGAAUUGUAAAAUGGUAAUAAUCCUAUUCUUUUUGUAUUGCUGAUUUUUUAUUUUUAUUUUUAUUUUUUCAGAUUUUACUUUGUCUCUUAUUAAUUAUUUUAGCAUUAGUUUUUGAUGUUUGAAAUUCUAAUUUUUUUUGUUUUUGCACUUAUUGAAGUAGUAGAAUAGUUUUGUAUUAAUGAAAAUGAUGUAGUGAAAGAAUACUUGAGAGUAUAGGGUACUUGUUUGGAGGCUUAUUUACUGCUUCAAGACUUUUUUGAGUACAAAACUCAAAAGUCUUUUGUUUGGUAAGAAAAUAUAGACUUUUGGACAGUUUUUGAACAAAAGUCUAUCUUUGAAUAGUGAAGAGCAGAUUUUAGUUAAAAUACUCUUUUGGAUAAGAUUGAACAAAAAAGUCUUGCCUUUUGAAUUUAAGAGCAGAUUUUUGUGGCAAAAUCUGUCAAAAAAGAUUGAUUUUUAAUUUUGAAAAGUUGGUUGUUUCUCAUAUAAAUAGGAAGACAUCUUUUACACAUGGUGGUGGGAAAAAACAUUUUUUUUACACAUCUGAUAGAGUAAAAUAUCAGUUGAACACUCAUAGUAAGUUGCAAAACCUGAGAGCUGUUUGAGUGUUAGCCAAUCUUGUGGAAAGACUUAGCGAAGAUACUUAAAGUGCUUGAAGCCAAUCUUGUUUCUUUCUUUCUCAAGCCAUUGAAUUUUUGGUCAAGUUUUUGGUUUACUUUGGUUUAAAUUGUUGUUGACAUUGUUGUUGCGUUGCUGUUGUUACUGACUUUAUUUGUUAAAAUUCAUUUCGUUCUCGGUUGAUAUCUUAUUUUCUGCUGACCAGGUAAUUCCCUCAACUAAUGUACUACUUUUGGGUCAAGAAUGAAUGAAAAUGAGAUGAUUCAAGCUUCCUUAUUUUAAGCUAUGCCUUGAAUAACAUUCAGUUCAGGUACUAUGAUUGACGUAUGAAUGAGCAUUUGUAAUAUAAUAGCUAUCAAUAUGGCAAAGCUUUCACUCUGUUUUUUUUUUUGCCAAGUUGUUAGAUUCGGAAACACAAGUUAUGUUGUUGUUUAAACGGUAAAUUUCAUGGUGGGCAUAUUUUAGUUUAUUUUUUUCAAUUUAAAACUAUUUCCACUCUCCUUUCAAAUGUUGAAAAAAUAUUUUUCCUGUCAUUGGAUUAAUUGUUGAUGAAAGUGUGAAAAAUAUGUAGGUUUAAAUAAUGAGUAUGCUAGUAAGGUUUAGAAAGAAUAUUUUUUUUUGUGAGUGCAUGAAGUGUGCUGGUGAAGUUUUAAUGGAGAGAAUUAGUGGAAAGAAUAUUUUGGGUAGCUUAUGUCGGUUACAAUCCGUACAGUUAGCUCGUUAGUGAAAUUGUCCUCUGUUAAGUAGUAUCUUUAUUUGACAUUUAAUCUUUUGAAAUUCAUUGAAUAAUUACAUGAUGUGAAUCGGGAUGUUUAGUUAUUUUGUUCUUAAGAAAACUGGAUAUGUUGUGAUUUUUUAAUGAUAAAUGGAACAUGGUUCAUCAACAAAUAAAAAUAUUGUUUGAUUUGUUAGUGUUUUGUUAAAUCUUGAAAUAAGAUAUGUUGUCUUAGAUAAUCUGAUAUGUGGGAAAAAUUGAAUAUUGAGAACGAGACUUACUAAUUGCUUAAAUUGAAAUUUUAUUUGAGCAAGUUAACUAGGUAGUAGGAUUAAGUAAAUCAAAGUUUGAAUUAAUUAAUUAUUCUUUUCUAAAUCAUAACAAAGCUGGCCCAUAUCUUUUAACAAGCAGUCCCUUUUUACUUCAAUAAGAUAGCUUUUUUCUUUAAAAUAAUAAAAGUUGGCCCAACAUUAUUUUUCUAUAUUUCCCCCUACUAAUUAGUUCCAAAAUCAGAUUUUUUUACUAGUUUAAUAGCUUAAUAACCUUUAAUGAGUUAAUUAAAUACAAUGCAAUUUUAGGACGCUCUAAAUAUAGACAAUGUGUUCACACGAUCUUUGAUCGUUUUUUUAAAAUAAAAAUGGUCAUGUGUGCAUCACCUCUCCUUGACUCUAAAAUAAUAAUUCGUGUUUUCUAGUUAAUCGUAUUUGAUCAUGUGUUCAUAUCCGUUCCUAGGUCAAAUGCGCAUAAUCAAAUAAGGACCAUGUGUGCUUACACAUUCCUCGGUCAAAAUAAAUUAUUAAGCAGUGCUAGACAAUAGUAUUUUUUAAGGCAAAUAAAUCACAAUUUAUCAAGAAUUAAUUCAUGCCAAGUUCAAGUUAAUAAAGCGACCGUGCUAGAACCACGGGACUCGGAGAAUGUCUUACACCUUCUCCAUGGUUAACAGAAUUCCUUAUCCGAACUUUAUUUUCGCAGACCAACAUGAAAAGAAUUAAAUCUUCCUUUGAAUAAGGAUUCAAAUAAAAGGUGACUUGGGACACCGACAAAAAUCAAUUCCAAGUGGCUACUCUGUAAAUAAAUUAAUUCCUAUUCAAGUUUGUCACUUAAAUUGGAAAAACCCUUUAACCCACAAUCCAUAAUAUUACAUUAUCUUUUGGGGAUAAAAAGAGGUGUGACAGCUCUGACGACUCUGUUGGGGACCUAUAAGAAUUCGAUCUUGUACAUUGAUUAAUUUUGGAUUUUAUUAUUUUUGGAUAUUACUGUGUAUGUGAGCCUAAUGUACUAAUUGUCGCUCAUUUACUUUUUUGAUAUUGUUUUAACUGUAUAUAUAAAUUGUCUUCUCUCGCACCCAAUCUGACUCUUUUGAUAUGUAAUAGUGUUGUAUGUGCUGACUAGCUCCACAAAAUUUUCUGUCUAAGACAAAGACAGUGUG